Long non-coding RNA from Cyprinus carpio carpio, 948 nucleotides. The record is from Ensembl. NCBI's taxonomy places the organism in Eukaryota, Metazoa, Chordata, Actinopteri, Cypriniformes, Cyprinidae.
GUUUUGUUUGCAUCCAAACUGCCCAAACCUGGCGAGGAGCGUCUCGCUGCAGCCUGCGGUGGACAUCCAACCCGGCCCACAUCCAAGUGUGACGUCACAGACCACGCCCAUGUCAAAAUACGUCACAUUCUCAAUCAUUUUGAAACAGGAAGAAGCAUCGAUAAGAAGAUAAUUUGUAUUGUUUGCCAACCGCUAAAAAAUAAGCUGUUGUUUGCCGUGUCGCAUUCUACACAUUUUCAGUCCAAGCCUGAUGCAGAGCAGUUCUCCCGGGUGAAGGGGUCCCUGCUGCAGUUUCACCAGUAAAGAAAAUUACUUGUUACAGUUCACUUGAAGGACCACAUAAGCCAUGCAGUGGUGCAUGGAGGUAUGGAGCGCCAAGAGGACAUAAAGUGGAAGUUUGUAAGGGACAUUGGUCCAGCGUGGUACAGAGUCAUCGUGGGUUAUUCUGUGGGGAGGUGACAGGGCCUGCCGUUCUCCAGAUGGACAGUAAAAAUCAACAGAAUGCCAUCAAAGACUACCUGGAGGGAGAAUCGGAGGAUAUAUUGAAGCAAGGAAUCUCUCUGUGUAGUCUAUGUAUGUAUGUGUGUGUACUGCAUGUCAAGAACUGUUUAUCUGAUCAUUCAGCUGUUCAUUCAGCUGCUCAGACUUUAUAAUAUUUGGAGCAUAUCUUUUGUUAAACACAACCAGUCAAAAGUUUUUGAACAGUGAGUUUUUUAUGUUUUUAAAGAAAUCUCUUCUGCUCAUCAAGCCUGCAUUUAUUUAAUCCGAAGUACAGCAAAAACAGUCCAAUUUUAAAAUAUUUGUAUAAUAUUUUGCUAUUUAAAAUAACAAUUUUCUAUAUUUCUAUUAAAAUGAAAUGUAUUCCUGUGAUUUCAAAGGUGACUUACUCCAGUCACAUGAUCCUUCAUUCUAAUAUGCUGAUUUGAUGCUCAAAAAACAUUUUAUUAU